Molecule: ribosomal RNA, 500 nt
Filed under: uncultured bacterium
Lineage: Bacteria
Description: bacterial SSU rRNA
Rfam family: Bacterial small subunit ribosomal RNA
Source: RNAcentral
AGAGUUUGAUCAUGGCUCAGGAUUAACGCUGGCGGUAUGCCUAACACAUGCAAGUCGAACGGAAUACUAAUUAAGAGAAUCUCACACUAGUGAGAGGUUCUCACGAGUAGUAUUUAGUGGCGGACGGGUGAGUAACACGUUGGAACCUGCCCCGAAGUGGGGAAUAACUGCUCGAAAGAGUAGCUAAUACCCCAUAGUAUCCGGUUUAUCCGGAUUAAAGAUUUAUCGCUUCGGGAGGGGCCUGCGUCUGAUUAGCUUGUUGGUGAGGUAAAAGCUCACCAAGGCGACGAUCAGUAGCUGGUUCGAGAGGAUGACCAGCCACACUGGGACUGAGAUACGGCCCAGACUCCUACGGGAGGCAGCAGUGAGGAAUCUUCCACAAUGGACGAAAGUCUGAUGGAGCAAUACCGCGUGCAGGAAGACGCUUUUCGGAGUGUAAACUGCUUUUGUCGUCGAAGAUUAUGACUGUAGACGAAGAAUAAGGACCGGCUAACUACGUG